ACCUGCCCUAUGAUUAGAUUAAAUGGCUGCGGUAUUUUGACCGUGCAAAGGUAGCAUAAUCAUUCGUUUUUUAAUUGGGAACUGGUAUGAAAGGUCGAACGAGAAAAAGACUGUCUCAAUUUAAUUUAGAUUAGAAUUUUAUUUUUAAGUAAAAAAGCUUAAAUAUUUUUAAAAGACGAGAAGACCCUAUAGAGUUUUAUAUUUUAAUAUUUAUAUUAAAAAUUAAAGUAUUUUUUUUUAAAAUAGGUAUGAUAAUAUUUGAUUGGGGCGAUUAAAAAAUUAAAUUAACUUUUUUUAAAUUAUAACAUUGAUUUAUGAUUAAGUGAUCCAUAUUUAAUGAUUAUAAGAUUA
Molecule: ribosomal RNA, 351 nt
Filed under: Nanos punctatus
Lineage: Eukaryota; Metazoa; Arthropoda; Insecta; Coleoptera; Scarabaeidae
Description: partial 16S ribosomal RNA
Source: RNAcentral